UGUUUAUAUUAACAGUUUCGACUGUUCAUAACCAAAAAAAAACCUCUCUCUUCUCGCCGAAACCUAGUUUCGCCGGCGAUACUCUAUUUUUGUCCACUCUCUCGCCGUCAAACAAAUCGUAUUAAAACUUGAAACCCUAGAUGAGAUGAGAUCAGAGAACAGAUCAAACACUGAGUCCACCGUCAGAAUUAGAAUCAUUGUCGCCGACGAUUGAACCAGACGCGCCGGACCUUAUUUGCCAGCUCGAUAAUGUUCAAGGAAUGGUCGAUGCACUCACUUGCGUACGAUGGAAACGCCACCAGGAUGCAUUAGUGGAGUUAUCUGAACACGGAAUAGUAUUAAUCGUGGAGGAAUCAGGUUGUCUUCAAGCCAAAGGUAUCGAUUUCUCAGUUCCCCCAAAAAAAAAUUCGAUUUCACCAUGUUUGUUUGUGGAAUCUGAAAUGUUUUGAGGUUUAAUCGGAGAAAGCUAUUCACGAAAUACGAGUAUGGGUCUCAAGGGAGACCGAGAUUUGGAAUUAGCUUAGGUCUUUUUGUGGAUUGCUUGAACACGUUUUCAUCACCUGGACAUUCGAAUACUAUAGAGAUGAAGUAUCCGGGUCCUGAUAUGGAGCUUCUUCUCAAAUCUGUGGAUACACUAAACGCUUGCAUCUACUCUGAGAUAAGAACGAGAAUCCCAGAAACCGUCACAUGGGACUAUAACUUUGAGCAGGCAGGAAGUGUGCCACUUACUUUUACCGUUAAGAUAGACUUCAU
Camelina sativa (false flax) is the source of this 753-nucleotide non-coding RNA. Lineage: Eukaryota; Viridiplantae; Streptophyta; Magnoliopsida; Brassicales; Brassicaceae. The record is from RefSeq and is a predicted model, not a curated record.